GCCUCGAGGGAGUGCUGCACACGAGCGUGAAACUGCGAGUCCCUCAUAAAAACAGUUAUUAUUGAUUUGAAAAAUACCUUCCCGCUGGAUAGCCGUGGGGUGGAGAGCUGGGCUGCUUGCAGCCUAGAUACACACCAGUUCGCUGGCUAUUCUCCUCAUUAAUUCGCCGGCCUUUGCGCCUGCGAUGGUUUUAUCAAGUUUCUGCCCUAUCAAGGCGUGAAUAGUAGGGUAAUAGCCUACUAUUGCGUUGACGGGUAUAGGGAGCAAGGGUUCAGUUCCGAGCAAGUAGCCUGAAAUGGCUUGCGUGUUCAAGGAAGG
Molecule: non-coding RNA, 318 nt
Filed under: Pyrenophora teres f. teres 0-1
Lineage: Eukaryota; Fungi; Ascomycota; Dothideomycetes; Pleosporales; Pleosporaceae
Description: eukaryotic small subunit ribosomal RNA
Rfam family: Eukaryotic small subunit ribosomal RNA
Source: Rfam by way of RNAcentral